CCCCUUACUUAUAUUCCCUAUCAAAAAUAUUCGUUGUUAGAAUAAAGUACAAAGAACUUCUGAAGGAUUUGCCUUCAACUGCAAUUAUAUUGUAUGCUGGCGAAACAAAACUAUCCAUAGCCGCUGCAUGUUUAUGCACCUGUCCUGAUUGAUUCAGGGGCCUGUCGUUCAGCAGUUAUCGUUUGUUGAUGUUGUUCAUUGGUAUUUUCCCGUUUGGAUAUAUAAAUUAGAUAGUUGGUUUUCCUGUUCGAAUUGUGUACGCUAAUAAUUUUGGGGUCCUUUAUAGCUUGCUGUUUGGUCUGUAUCAAAGCCCUGUGUAAAAGGCCGUACUUUGACCUGUGUUUGUUAUUAUCAGGUUGAGAACAACCCUCCCUCAGACAAGGGGUCAUUUUACUGAUGUAAACAAUUAAAUAGAAAUACCAAGGAUUUGUAUAGUUCUUCUAUACAAAACCUUUGAAAACUUAGAAUUUUGUACUCAAAAAGAGGAGAGUUAAAUCAUAUUUUAAUCAACUUUUUCUA
RNAcentral lists this long non-coding RNA (519 nucleotides) under Mytilus galloprovincialis (Mediterranean mussel). The record is from RNAcentral. Lineage: Eukaryota; Metazoa; Mollusca; Bivalvia; Mytilida; Mytilidae.